Molecule: long non-coding RNA, 3773 nt
Organism: Bactrocera oleae (olive fruit fly)
Lineage: Eukaryota; Metazoa; Arthropoda; Insecta; Diptera; Tephritidae
Source: RefSeq, a predicted model, not a curated record
UAGCCAUCUAAUAUUAAGAUUUAAUGUUCCGUAAGCGACCCAGUGGCAGUGGCAAUUCCCAAAAAACUAUUAUCUAGGCCAUGUAAAAUUACUGGUUGGCGUUCGUCAGCUAGUUAUCGACAAUGACAGCAAAUUACUAAACACAAAACUCCGCAGAGCUACCCUUAAUAAUUACUGAUCUAACAUUUUUCUUUACUUUGGCCUUCGCCAUACCAUUGUAAUGUUAGUGGAUUAUUUGAUCUUCUUAGACCUAACAUGGCGGCUUUACUUUCACGUCCACCCUAACAUCGCUGAUGCUAUCACGCCGCUGCUGCCAUCACUCUUAUGCUGCCAUCACGUCGCUGCUGCUAUCACAUUCGCUGCUGUUUAAACCGUCGUGGGGAUGAGCUGCCGCUGCAUCAUGUGCCAAAGGGACGUACACGCCGGCAAACAGCCGACGCACCAGAUAGGAAUAAUCUUCUCCGACAACAUAAACUUUGCAUCAACUGUUUGUUAAAUUCUCACGGGAAAAAUACUGUGAAAGCGAAUUCAGUGGUGUGUACAGUCAACGACGACAUCAUUCAUUGCUUCACAUAACCAAUUUUACAAAUAUGAAGCAAAAUCACAUACAUAAAAAGGAAAUUCAAGCUCUUCAUUCAGAGAACGAAAACAAAAUUAUUUUAUUCAUAGCGGUCAUUUCUAUAGAACAAAAGGGAGAUUAUUCAAAUUGAGAGCAUUAAUAGAUCAAGGUUCUCAAAGAUCCUUUAUAUCAUCAAAGGCUCAGAAUCGGUUAAAAUUGCCAUUCGAAAAUUCCAGUUUUCAAAUUUAAAAUUCAAUCACCAUAGUCCAUCCAAACGCGGAUAUACGAUUAGAUGCACAAGACAUUGUUGUACCGCAGCUCACUAAUUUGCUUCUAAACUAUGAAGUAAAUAAAAAUUCGUGGAAAAUAAUCUCAUACCUUAAAUUAGCAGAUCCCAACUGCCAUAAUCCAUCACAAAUCGACAUAUUAUGGGGCAGCGACUUAAUACUUGAAAUAGUUCUUGAGGAUAUAGAGAAAAUAUCUAAUAAAUUUUUAGACCAAAAUAUAAUCUUUGGAUCGAUAUUAAGUUACAGAAAAACUUCCUUCACAACUGAAGUAGAAAAUAUUGAAUAAUAUUAGAACGAAUAUUUAAAUAAUCAACUCAAAAAAUUCUGAGAAGUAGAAGAAUUACCUUAGAUCAUACAACCUUCAGAAGAAGACCUGGCAUGCGAAGCCUAUUACAAGUCUACAACAACAAGAAACGAACAUGGUCGUUAUGUUGUGCCACUCUCAUUCCAGCCCACCUUUUCCAGAAACUAAAGAUCUAGGCCACUCUAAAAUAUCAGUAGUCCAAUAAUUCCUAAGCUUAAAAAAACGCUUAAUAAAGGAAAGCGAACAUAAAUCAGCAUAUGAUAACGUGAUGGAUGAAUAUCUUGACCUCAAUCAUAUGGAAGAAGCUGUACUAAAUGGUAGAUAUUUAUCUUUUUAUCUUCCACAUCAUGGGGUACUAAGACUAGAUAAAAUCACAGCAAAAGUACGAGUUGUUUUUAAUUCCUAAAAGUGUACGAGCUCAGGCAAAUCACUCAAUGGUGUACUAUACACAGGGCCAACAUUGCAACCUGAUCUCAUGCUGCUAAUACUAAAUUGGCGAAUGUUUUUAACGGAGAUGUAGAAAAAAUGUAUAAGCAAAUUUUAGUACAUAAAGAUGACCAAGAUUUUCUACAUAUAGUCUUCUGAAAAUCAAGUAAUAGUCGAAUCAGGGACUACCAACUUAAAACAGUUACCUUUGGCAUCAAUCGUGGACCCUAUUUAACCAUUAGAACAACACAAACAUACAUUAAACAACAUACCUGAUGGAAUAGGUAGCCAAAGUCUGUCAUUAGCGUGCGAAUCACAGUGAUCAGAGCCCUAGUUCAGCCGGGUUGCCCCUAAAGAAAAUUACAUCAAAUCAUCCCGAGAUAAAAAACAUAAAAAGUGAAUACUUAUUAGAUACAAACUUCCUCAAAUUUGAAAAACUCAGAACUCCAAAAUCCUCGUGAUUCAAUUGAAUGCGAUAACAGAUCAAUAUACAAUUGAGUCAAUAUCUGCAAUAUCCGCCAUAACCAAACGUCAUAUAUUCUCUUCGGUGGCAAAACUUUUCGAUCCCGCAGGAUGGCUUUCGCCAACAAUGAUCCAAACAAAAAUCCUCAUUCAAGAACUGUGGCAAGAUAGCAGCAAUUUCGCACCUGACUUUAAUGUAGAAUUACAAGGCUUCUGCCUCUAUGUUAAGUUCUUCCUAAUUCAGAAAAGGGUAUAUGGCUGUCUGUGUAUUUCACGACAAAGGCAGUACACCUCAAGCUAUGUUCAGAUCUGUAUUCUGCGGCUUUCCUCGCAACGCAUUUCCAUCAAAAAUUAUAAACGACAAUGGGAAAAACUUUAUCAGAGCUCAAAGAGCCACAGAGAAAGAGUUUGUAAAUUUUACUACAGAAGUUUCCCCAUAAAUGGUUAAAAAUAUGCACAACAAGGAACCGAUUGAAGGAACCUACUCACAUGGCCGGAUUCUGGGAAAAAGCUGUGAAAAGCCUUCAAUCCUAUUUAAAGAAAACGUCAGAUCCCUCCGAUUUCACAGCUCUUACACCUGGAGAUUUCUUCAGAGGAGCUUCACUUCUCGCAAUACCUGAGGUAGAAGGAGACUUACUAAUUUAAUAGACCGAUGGGGAAAAAUUAAGAUACUUCAUCAUGAAUUCGCCAUAAGAGACAUCGAUGGAAAACGAUCCAGAAGGAACCAAAUGCGGGAUAAUGCGUCAUCAUACAUGAUGAAUGCCUUCCUCCAACCGUAUGGCAACUAGGCCGCAUUGUAUCGGGGACGAGAUGGUCAUAAAUGGACGAAUAAGAUAUCCGCAGCACUCCCAAGGCUGUGAGGUCCGUAAUUACUGCGCUUAGAGAAUCAGCUCCCCCAUCGAAGCAACAAGAAUGCAAAGCGUCAAGAGUCCGCCCAGACAAUCAUCUGCAGCAGCAGUCAGAGAUGCAAAUGCGAAGCAGUUUGAAGUGUAUCUGCCUCCACGAUGCAGUCUAUCCAUCGACCACACUGGUCUCAACGCCAAUAGAUCGCCAGAGCCCACGGCCACUGUAUGACUUGCUUGGCAAAUACUCAUUCCACCUUUGACUGUUUAACCGACGGAUCGUGUUAAUAUUGUCAACGAACGCAUCACACAUUGUUUCAUCGAUUCCCUCGACGAGCAAAAAAGACCAGUUAGCGGCACAGACAACACGAGGAUCCCGUCCAGCGCCGAAGAGUACAUUGAUCCAAGCCAUCCAGAGGGGCACGCUCGCGGCCACCUCCACCACCCAAUGGUCAUCGCAACCAGCGACAAAGAGCAACUGGAUUGAACGCCGUAGAGAGUACCCUGCAACAGUAGCAGAGACUUCUAGGUAAUUAAUUCGCCUAGGGAUGUUUAUGCGACUUCUGAUCCCGCGACAUUUUGCAACUCAGCACACAACCCACCAUACAACAUCAUACAACACAACACCACAUAUACCCACCAACACAACCACAUACAAUUAACCAACCACACUUCAACCAUUGUCCACCAUCCAAAUGAUCAAAAAGGACUAGAUUGGGAUUUCAGCCGUGACCUUUAAGGUUCGCCAUUGGUACGUUCCCGCAACGUAGUUUUCGUCGUUCGUGUGAAAAGUUAAAAUGAACUAUUGUCAAACUCGACGUAAACAAUUAUAAAUUAUCAAAUUCAUUAUAUCAUAUCAUAAAGUCAAAUUAAUAAAGGAUUCAAAAGGUUUU